Molecule: long non-coding RNA, 1587 nt
Organism: Micropterus dolomieu (smallmouth bass)
Lineage: Eukaryota; Metazoa; Chordata; Actinopteri; Centrarchiformes; Centrarchidae
Exons: 2
Source: RefSeq, a predicted model, not a curated record
CCAUAACGGAAAGUUAACGUUUGAUUUAACUAAAUACAAAGUCUGAGCAGAGGCAGCUUAACGUUAGUCACUCUGAAUUUAAAAACCUAACAUUUUGUGUUUUAGAAGUGAGGUAACAUUACCUUGCCUGCUUCGUCUUCCUUUGCUGAUUGAUAAUUUACGAGCCUUCUUUUCGCCACCGAAUUGCAAAGAAGGUUAAACGUUAGUUAACAGCUAACGUUAACUAACGUAACCAUCGAACAUCGUAAAACAUUAACAUCGGAAGACUUUAGCAUUAUUAGCAUUUCCCUUGCGUUUUUUCCCCCGUUAACAGUUCCUGGUCGAAACUUAACGUUACCUGUGGCACAUGAAAUCGGAAGUUAUCGAUCGGUUAGCUAACGUCCCAAAACAACCUUAGCGAUUUAACGUUAACGUUCCUAAUGUUAGCUAGUAACGUCGAUUAGGAAAAACACGCCGUUUUGCAGUUGCAAGCUAGCUAGCUGUCAUUAAAUAUUUAAUACCUCCCUCGGCUCGUCCGCAUAAGGUGACGGAAUAGUUCUACUGUUGUUUCCCUUCAACUCGCCAGAGCUGUUUGCUACUGCGGUUGACAUCUCAGUUAGCUGGCUAUAAGCUAGCUGGUUAGCUUGCCGAUUGUACAUUGCAUUGCGAAGUCCUGACAUUUUACGUUAACUAAUCAGAUGCGCUAAAUGAAACAUUGGGUGUUUGAGACAUGCAGUGCCAGCACCAAGGAACAAUUUUCAUAAACUAGAUUCAUAACUCAAUGCACAGUCGGCAUAACGUUACUUCCUCACCUUUGAUUCGCCUUGCUUUAGCACAACAGGAACGAUGGCGUCUGUGUUGUUGACUGCUGUUGACACAGGGUCAGGUGAUAUAGCCUACAAUGACUCGGAGGGAGUGGUUUACAAGAUUGCUUUCAGCAAACGGUGAAACACAGGAAGACCAUGAAGAUCUCUGUGUACAAUCCAGAAAAGCUCUGACCACUGAAUGGCUUAAAAUGAGUUGAAGUCCCUGUGCACUCACAAGUAAACACAUGUUAAGUAAUUUUAAACUAUUAGAAGUAGAACAGUUGAAAACAAAAACAACUACAGAGAAGCAGAAAUUUAGGUCAUUUGUAAAAUGUAUGGAAUGAAAAAGACACAAGAAACUAGCUAUAGUAACAUCAUGAGAGCUGCAAGUGUAUUCCCUGUGGAAAAUACCAUGUUUUUUAGGCAUUACCACUGCUAGAUUUGUCAGUGAGUUUGGGAUAUUGGCAAAGGCUGCAUAAAAAGCAGCCCACAUCAGCCAGUGAAUCCAGCUGUAAACAAAAGACACCUUUUAUCUUUUAAUGUCUGGAAUAUAAGUCAUGAAUAAAACAGAUAUACAGUGGAUAGUACAGGGUACAACACUGUUGCAGUUGAGUUGCCUCAUUUUUUAGAUUAUACAUUGUGUACUAUUUGAAGUUGCAGUUCUCCUCCUGAAAUGUUAAUUCAUCCAUCCAUCCAUCUUCUUCCGCUUAUCUGGGGCCGGUGGCAGUAUUCUGAGGCGUUCCCAGGCCAGAUGAGAUGUUAAUUCAGUAAUUUUGUUUCAUAAAGGUAGCAGUUCAGCCUG